RNAcentral lists this long non-coding RNA (429 nucleotides) under Monodelphis domestica (gray short-tailed opossum). RNAcentral's name for it is "lncRNA (ENSMODG00000033566.2)". Lineage: Eukaryota; Metazoa; Chordata; Mammalia; Didelphimorphia; Didelphidae. The record is from RNAcentral.
AGACUUCUACCAACAAUAAAUGAUGCUCUAGGGUCAUUGACCUUGACAGGAAAUCCAACACACUGAUGACAGCAGCCACAUGAAUAGACUUGAGACACAAACAUCUAAAUUCCCAUGUUGGUCUCAACUUAAUCUUGGAAGAUGGGAAAAAAGGCAACCUAGGAACCAGGAUCAGGAAAGGAAAAUGGAUUUGGGAAAAGGCAACUGAGAUCUCUGCCCUGCAACCAUGGAUGAGAAAACCCAACAUAUGCAUGCCUCUGUACGGUAUCGUCGAGUACCAUUACAACACCAUUUAUUUCCAUCCGUGCUCAACCCUUCAAUGAAUGACCUUCAAGCAACAAACUCUGUUUAAUUAGCUCCCCACAAAUAUCCUGGGGAGUUGAAAUUGCUUGAGUUAUUAAUUAAAGGGAAAACAAUGAGAAGGAGAGA